GAGAGCUUGCUCUCGGGUGACGAGUGGCGGACGGGAGAGUAAUGUCUGGGAAACUGCCUGAUGGAGGGGGAUAACUACUGGAAACGGUAGCUAAUACCGCAUAAUGUCGCAAGACCAAAGAGGGGGACCUUCGGGCCUCUUGCCAUCAGAUGUGCCCAGAUGGGAUUAGCUAGUAGGUGGGGUAACGGCUCACCUAGGCGACGAUCCCUAGCUGGUCUGAGAGGAUGACCAGCCACACUGGAACUGAGACACGGUCCAGACUCCUACGGGAGGCAGCAGUGGGGAAUAUUGCACAAUGGGCGCAAGCCUGAUGCAGCCAUGCCGCGUGUAUGAAGAAGGCCUUCGGGUUGUAAAGUACUUUCAGCGGGGAGGAAGGUGUUGUGGUUAAUUAUUUUCAGCAAUUGACGUUACCCGCAGAAGAAGCACCGGCUAACUCCGUGCCAGCAGCCGCGGUAAUACGGAGGGUGCAAGCGUUAAUCGGAAUUACUGGGCGUAAAGCGCACGCAGGCGGUCUGUCAAGUCGGAUGUGAAAUCCCCGGGCUCAACCUGGGAACUGCAUUCGAAACUGGCAGGCUGGAGUCUUGUAGAGGGGGGUAGAAUUCCAGGUGUAGCGGUGAAAUGCGUAGAGAUCUGGAGGAAUACCGGUGGCGAAGGCGGCCCCCUGGACAAAGACUGACGCUCAGGUGCGAAAGCGUGGGGAGCAAACAGGAUUAGAUACCCUGGUAGUCCACGCCGUAAACGAUGUCGAUUUGGAGGUUGUGCCCUUGAGGCGUGGCUUCCGGAGCUAACGCGUUAAAUCGACCGCCUGGGGAGUACGGCCGCAAGGUUAAAACUCAAAUGAAUUGACGGGGGCCCGCACAAGCGGUGGAGCAUGUGGUUUAAUUCGAUGCAACGCGAAGAACCUUACCUGGUCUUGACAUCCACAGAACUUUCCAGAGAUGGAUUGGUGCCUUCGGGAACUGUGAGACAGGUGCUGCAUGGCUGUCGUCAGCUCGUGUUGUGAAAUGUUGGGUUAAGUCCCGCAACGAGCGCAACCCUUAUCCUUUGUUGCCAGCGGUCCGGCCGGGAACUCAAAGGAGACUGCCAGUGAUAAACUGGAGGAAGGUGGGGAUGACGUCAAGUCAUCAUGGCCCUUACGACCAGGGCUACACACGUGCUACAAUGGCGCAUACAAAGAGAAGCGACCUCGCGAGAGCAAGCGGACCUCAUAAAGUGCGUCGUAGUCCGGAUUGGAGUCUGCAACUCGACUCCAUGAAGUCGGAAUCGCUAGUAAUCGUAGAUCAGAAUGCUACGGUGAAUACGUUCCCGGGCCUUGUACACACCGCCCGUCACACCAUGGGAGUGGGUUGCAAAAGAAGUAGGUAGCUUAACCUUC
Molecule: ribosomal RNA, 1375 nt
Filed under: Enterobacter cloacae
Lineage: Bacteria; Pseudomonadati; Pseudomonadota; Gammaproteobacteria; Enterobacterales; Enterobacteriaceae
Description: bacterial SSU rRNA
Rfam family: Bacterial small subunit ribosomal RNA
Source: RNAcentral